UUUGGUACUUCGUCGAUUUGA
This 21-nucleotide microRNA is filed under the name Medicago truncatula (barrel medic). RNAcentral describes it as "mtr-miR2597". The record is from miRBase by way of RNAcentral. Lineage: Eukaryota; Viridiplantae; Streptophyta; Magnoliopsida; Fabales; Fabaceae.